Molecule: non-coding RNA, 107 nt
Organism: Triticum urartu
Lineage: Eukaryota; Viridiplantae; Streptophyta; Magnoliopsida; Poales; Poaceae
Source: Rfam
AAAAUACUCCUUUCGUUCCGAAUUACUUGUCGCAGGUAUGGAUGUAUCUAGAACAUCUAGAUACAUCCAUUUCUGCGACAAAUAAUUUGGAACGGAGAGAGUAGAAU